GUAAAUUGCCAACCUGUUUGUCUGCUCAUUACUGUAAGAAUCAUAAUGAUGCUCAUCCUCAAAAUUUUCAUCUGGGAGAAGAGGAAUGAAUAUAAAUUAGCUUAAUGGUUUGGGGAAAUAUUAACACAUUUCAGCAACAUAUCUUUAAAGAUAGAAGAGGGAAUUUAUUCUCAAGCUAUCACAAGGAAAAAUAAAAAAACAAAAGCAUUGAC
Long non-coding RNA from Penaeus monodon (black tiger shrimp), 212 nucleotides. RefSeq lists it as uncharacterized. The transcript has 2 exons. Lineage: Eukaryota; Metazoa; Arthropoda; Malacostraca; Decapoda; Penaeidae. The record is from RefSeq and is a predicted model, not a curated record.